AUUAAAGUGGCAGAAAACAAUGCAAGGAAUUUAAGCUUCCUCAAUGAUAAUUUCCUUUAAUA
RNAcentral lists this transfer RNA (62 nucleotides) under Rhipicephalus haemaphysaloides. RNAcentral's name for it is "tRNA-Leu". The record is from RNAcentral. Lineage: Eukaryota; Metazoa; Arthropoda; Arachnida; Ixodida; Ixodidae.